UAUGUUUCAAAUUGGUGUAUUUAUAUCUACCAUUAGCCCGAAGUAAGAUUGAAUAAUUCUGAUGUGAAACAAAAACCUACAGCGUACAGACACUUUACUUCGUUGGAAUUAAAACAGUGAAAGAGCUAUCUGCAUCAUGAGCUUUACUUUGCUGUUGGAUAUUUGCCUUGUUGCCACAAUUGUUUCUCUUUCAACAGAACAAGUGACUGAACAUACGAUCGUAGUAUGCAACAACAGACCGACCACAAUAAGCUGCCGGGAAAGAAUUGUCGUACGUUCGGCUAUCUUCGGACAACCAAAAGGGAACAUAUGCGGUGGAAGGAGGGUUUAUGGUUGUCAGAGGAACGUCACUGAUACAGUAUCGGAGUUAUGUAGCCAUAAAGAAACCUGUCAGUUUACACCUGGGAGCAUUUUGUUUGGCGAUCAUUGUCCAGGGACUGUGAAAUAUACAGAGAUUGUAUAUCUGUGUCAUUUCUGGCUAUUCUAAAUAAAUUUACGUGCUUGGACUAUGAAUCCAAAUAUGUGAAUUAAACAGUAUCAUGCAAGACAGUUUUUUGUAAUUUAUCAUAUAUAUUUCUGUUUUGUAUUAAGCAUUGAAGAUGAGUUUUGGAAUAGUGCCACCAGUUUAAAAUAUAUCCUUUGAAAUAGAUACAUUUACAGAAGGAAAAAAACAAGUGUGUUAUACAUUCAAACCUUCAUUGUCGAGAUGUUUAUUGUUAAAAUUAGUAUAAACGCAAUGGCGUGAUACAUGGUUCUAAUUAAACAUUUAAACAUGCCAGUAAAAUGCAACCCAUAUUAGGUUGUUUUUACGAACUUCACAAAGAUCGUGUAAUUUGCAAUACAACCGACAAACAAUUUGAAUAUUUGGGUUAACGUACCUAAACUGGUUUUCUAAACUUUAUUAAAUAUUACAAACGAAGACAUGUAGCGCGUUCUAGUAAAUAUAAUAAUGUAUAACAUGGAGUAAAGAAAGGAUAUUUUAAGGGUAGUAUAUGAGAAAAUUCACGAGUACGUAUUUAGUCUUGAUUCUACUUAAAUUUAUUUAGAUAAAAAGUUAAAUUAAAAACAUUGUGUUGUACAACAGAUAACGGAUAAUGUAAGAAUACAAUGGGAUGUAACUUUUUUUCCCAAAUCAUUUUUUGUCUCUGGUAAUUUAUAUUUGUGAGUAAAUAAAAUGUGU
Long non-coding RNA from Saccostrea cuccullata (small rock oyster), 1180 nucleotides. RefSeq lists it as uncharacterized. The record is from RefSeq and is a predicted model, not a curated record. The transcript has 3 exons. NCBI's taxonomy places the organism in Eukaryota, Metazoa, Mollusca, Bivalvia, Ostreida, Ostreidae.